AUUGAACGCUGGCGGAAUGCUUUACACAUGCAAGUCGAACGGUAGAGGGGGCAACCCCUUGAGAGUGGCGAACGGGUGAGUAAUAUAUCGGAACGUGCCCAGUCGUGGGGAUAACGUAGCGAAAGUUACGCUAAUACCGCAUACGAUCUAAGGAUGAAAGCGGGGGACUCGCAAGAGCCUCGCGCGAUUGGAGCGGCCGAUAUCAGAUUAGGUAGUUGGUGGGGUAAAGGCUCACCAAGCCAACGAUCUGUAGCUGGUCUGAGAGGACGACCAGCCACACUGGAACUGAGACACGGUCCAGACUCCUACGGGAGGCAGCAGUGGGGAAUUUUGGACAAUGGACGCAAGUCUGAUCCAGCCAUUCCGCGUGCAGGAUGAAGGCCCUCGGGUUGUAAACUGCUUUUGUACGGAACGAAAAGGUUUCUAUUAAUACUAGGAGCUCAUGACGGUACCGUAAGAAUAAGCACCGGCUAACUAACGUGCCAGCAGCCGCGGUAA
Molecule: ribosomal RNA, 498 nt
Filed under: uncultured bacterium
Lineage: Bacteria
Description: bacterial SSU rRNA
Rfam family: Bacterial small subunit ribosomal RNA
Source: RNAcentral